CGAGGAGCUUGCUCCUUUGACGUUAGCGGCGGACGGUUGAGUAACACGUAGGUAACCUACCUAUAAGACUGGGAUAACUUCGGGAAACCGGAGCUAAUACCGGAUAAUAUUUCGAACCGCAUGGUUCGAUAGUGAAAGAUGGCUUUGCUAUCACUUAUAGAUGGACCUGCGCCGUAUUAGCUAGUUGGUGAGGUAACGGCUCACCAAGGCAACGAUACAUAGCCGACCUGAGAGGGUGAUCGGCCACACUGGGACUGAGACACGGCCCAGACUCCUACGGGAGGCAGCAGUAGGGAAUCUUCGGCAAUGGGGGCAACCCUGACCGAGCAACGCCGCGUGAGUGAAGAAGGUUUUCGGAUCGUAAAGCUCUGUUGUAAGAGAAGAACGAGUGUGAGAGUGGAAAGUUCACACUGUGACGGUAACUUACCAGAAAGGGACGGCUAACUACGUGCCAGCAGCCGCGGUAAUACGUAGGUCCCGAGCGUUAUCCGGAUUUAUUGGGCGUAAAGCGAGCGCAGGCGGUUAGAUAAGUCUGAAGUUAAAGGCUGUGGCUUAACCAUAGUACGCUUUGGAAACUGUUUAACUUGAGUGCAGAAGGGGAGAGUGGAAUUCCAUGUGUAGCGGUGAAAUGCGUAGAUAUAUGGAGGAACACCGGUGGCGAAAGCGGCUCUCUGGUCUGUAACUGACGCUGAGGCUCGAA
Molecule: ribosomal RNA, 700 nt
Filed under: uncultured bacterium
Lineage: Bacteria
Description: bacterial SSU rRNA
Rfam family: Bacterial small subunit ribosomal RNA
Source: RNAcentral